CGGGAUAUAGCGUAGUUUGGUAGCGUGCCAUCUUGGGGUGAUGGAGGUCGCAGGUUCAAAUCCUGCUAUUCCGA
RNAcentral lists this transfer RNA (74 nucleotides) under Trichomanes trollii. RNAcentral describes it as "tRNA-Pro". It matches the Rfam family "tRNA". Rfam says of the family: Transfer RNA (tRNA) molecules are approximately 80 nucleotides in length. Lineage: Eukaryota; Viridiplantae; Streptophyta; Polypodiopsida; Hymenophyllales; Hymenophyllaceae. The record is from RNAcentral.